CCGACCAAUCUAAUAUAAUAUGACAACUUGCAUACUUUACAAAAUUUAUAAAUACUACCCACAACAAUUAUAUCAAAUUCAUUCCAUAAUAUUCAAAUAAAAUAAUAUUUAUAGAAAAAUUUAUUUUUAUUCUUAAAAGUGGGGUCUUACAUAUGUUAUUAGCAUAAUGCAAAUGGAUCUUCACUCGGCAUGCGGUAGUUCGCAUACACAGAUUAUUCCAACAGAAUAAUAAAGAAUAGAAUCAGGUCAUGCGUAAUCCGCACAGACAUGAUAUUCUAACAGAAUAAUAAAGAAUGGAAUAACAACAGAAUUCACCAUGCAUGCGAUAGACGGCACAGACAGGUUAUUCCAACAGAAUAAUAAAUAAUGGAAUAACAGAAGAAUUUCACCAGGUAUGCAGUAUUCUGCAUAUACAGGUUAUUUCUACAAAUUAAUAAGCGGUAAAAAGGUUCCCACCAAGUCUUGUAAGAUCAACAAGGAUGGAUGGUACCAUUUUAAAUAACAGAAUUUAAAAAUGGACAAUAAAACAUAAAUAUAACUUGACAGUUAAUAUAAUAGGCGGCAAAGCCAGGCCAAUUAUAAGAAAAACAUUAUACUAUUGGUGGUAUAGCCAAACCGGUAGUAUAAUAAUAAAUUACAAGAAUUUAAUUUUACCGUCUCAGUUGGUUAGAGUUUCGUGCUGAUAACGUGUUAUAAAACUUUAGCAAAGUAUAGAAAUAUACUCUUAUAAUUGCUGCAUAAAUUUAGAUAAAUUUAGAGAGAAUAAGUAAGAGAAAAAAGAAAAAUUCUUCAGAGGAAUUCUU
Molecule: long non-coding RNA, 803 nt
Filed under: Panax ginseng (ginseng)
Lineage: Eukaryota; Viridiplantae; Streptophyta; Magnoliopsida; Apiales; Araliaceae
Description: long non-coding RNA (PGIN_LNC014244)
Source: RNAcentral